AGGAUGGAGCUGCAAGUGGUGGCGUCCGGCAGCAUCCCCUUGGCCAGCACCACUCGCAGCAGCUCCAUCGUCCCGGCCAAGUUCCCAGAUCUGUGGAGACCACCGAAGCAAGCCGCGAAGGUGAACGAAUCCGGCUGGUGGCCCUUGCCGACCAUCUCCUCAAGAACAGUGAUCGCCUGCUCGGUCUUCCCCGACUUCCACAGCCCGUCCACGAGGAUGUUGUAAGUCACGGUGUCGGGAUCCCAGCCAAAGCUCUUAAGCUUGCUCACGAGCUGGAGAGCGUCGUCGGUUCUCGAGGCCCGGCAGAGCGCGUAGACGAGCGAGCCGUAAGUCAUGGAUUCGGGCACGCAGCCGGAGCUCACCAUCUCCUCCAGGAACUCGCAGGGCUCCUCGAUCCGGCCCGACUUGCACAGGCCGUGGACAAGCACGUUGUAAGUCACCACGUUUGGAGGAACUCCGAGAUUCCCCAUGAGAUCGAGGAUGUCCCGCGCGGCCUCCACCUGUCCCGCCUUGCACAGCCCGUCGAUGAGCGCGCCGAAAGUCAUCACGUCCGGCUGCAUGUUCUUGGCCACCAUCUCCUCGAAGAGCGCGGACGCCUGCUCGAAGUUGCCGGCCUUGCAAGCCCCCGCGAUGAGAAUGUUGAAGGUGACUUUGUCAGGCACGAGCAUCCGGUUGUAGACCUGGAGCGCUCUCGACACGUCCCCGAGCUUGGAAAGUCCGUUGAUACAGCAGUUGAAAGCGUACGUGUCCGGGUCGGGCAUGGCGUCGAGCAGCGCCUCGGCCUGACCCGCCCGCCCCGUCCGGAAGAGGCCAUCGAUCAAGGUGCAGUACGUGAUCUUGUCCGGGGCCAGGCCGUGCUUGAGCGUCAUGUCGUCGAACAUCUGGAAGGCCUCGCCCGAUCGGUCCGACUUGCAGAGUCCGUCGAUGAUCGAGUUGAAAGUCACCACGUUUGGCGUGCAUCCCCGCGACGCCAUGCCGUGGAGGAGCUCCAGAGCCUCGUCGACGCGGGAGGCCUUGCAAAAGGCGUCGACGAGUACGCUAUAGGUGAUCACGUCCGGGGUGACGCCCUUGUCCACCAUGCUCUCGAUCAUGGCGUGGGCUCUCUCCAUCUUGUCGGCCUUGCACAGCCCGUUCACGAGCGCGUUGUAAGUCACCACGUUUGGGACGUAGCCACCUGCGAUCAUGUCGUCGUUGCAAGCCUCGUCGGUCUGGCCACACUUGCACAGCCCGUCGAUCAGCGUGCUGAAAGUCACGGUGUCUGGAGAGACUCUCAAGCUCCCAUCUCGCAAGCUCCUCAUCAGCUCGCACGCCUCGGCCGUCAUGGACUGCUUGCAAAGCCCGUCGAGGAACGAGUUGUAAGUGAUGAUGUUUGGAAGAACGUCGCAGCUCUUCCGCGUCAUCUCCUGGAUGAGCUCUCGCGCCUCGUCGAUCCGGCCGACCUUGCACAGCCCGUUGAUGAGCACGCUGUAGGUGACGACGUUUGGGACGCAACCUCGAGAGCUCAUGCCGCCAUGGAGCCGCCGUGCCUCCUCCAGAUCCCCGGCUUUGCACAAGCUGUCGAUCAGCGUGUUGUAAGUCACCACGUCGGGGUGGUGGCCUCUCUUCACGAGCUCCUCGAAGAGCUCCAUCCCUGCGCCAAGCUCGUUGCUCUUGCACAGCCCAUUGAUGAUCGUGUUGUAAGUCACGAUGGUGGGAGCUACGCCGUCGCGAGCCAUCUCCCCGCGGAAGAUCUCCAGCGCGCGGGCGGUCUCGCCGGCGCGGCACAGCGACUGGAGCACGAUGUUGUAGUCCGCCACCGAGCGCGAGGAGCUCCGGACAAAAAAAAAUUUCAGGGGACACAAAUUUACUCUUUGAGUGUUGAUGGUGGCGGUGGUGAUUGGUACCAGUAGAUUCGCGGCAGCAGUAUGGUGGUGGGGAUUUAUACACAUAUGGUGGUGGUGGUGGUGGCGACUCAUAUUUAUACGGUGGCGAUGGAGGUGGGGACUGCAGUGGUGGUGGAGAUGUGUACUUGUAUGGAGCUGGCGAUGGUGUACAUUUCUCACAUUUUGGUGGUGGUGGUGGUGGAGAUUUGUACUCGCACGGAGGUGGCAAUGGUGGAGACUUCUCGCAUUUUGGUGGUGGUGGCGGUGGGGAUUUCUCACAUUUUGGCGGUGGUGGUGGCGGGAACUUCGGUGGUGGUGGUAGUGGUGGCAGCGGAGACUUGGGUGGCUGGGGAGGUGGAGAUUUUUCACACUUUAGUGGAGGUGGUGGAGACUUGUAACGGUAAGGAGGUGGUGGCGAUUCAACUGGCGGUGAUGGAGAUUUGUGAUGGUGUGGUGGCGACUCAACCGGCGGUGGUGGUGAUUCAACCGGUGGUGGUGGCGAUUCCAUCUGUGGUGGUGGGGAUUUGUAACAGUAAGGAGGUGCAUUAGGAGGGCACAAACGAUUUGGAAACCACCAGGGUCUUCUCAGCCAUGGCCUCCAACAGAAGAAAUGAUCGUGCUCUUGGGAAUUCUAAAGCCAAAGUUCUUGGCAUCUCCAAAAGCCCCUGCAUUUCGAUCCAAAACCUCCUGAGAUCCAUCACAACUGACAGUAGAAACCAGGAGAAGCAGCAAAAGCAUGCUGCGUGACUUGAGGAAAAUCAUCACGUUCUCGAUAGAGAACCAAGAUCACUGGAAAGAGAGACCUUUUCUGUGAUGCUACAAAAAUUUCCAGGUUACCGUGUCCUAUCCGCUUUCAAAAUAGUAAUGCUUUAGAAAUUGAUGGCUCUGUUUAAUGUUUAGCAAAAGAUUUGCAACGCGCGCCCGUCUCUCGCCUCCACUCUGACUUCGAGGUGCAGAGGAGCUGAAGGAGCGGCAGACCUGGACAACAUUUUCGAGUGAGCAUCCGGCUGCGUUCCGAGGAUUUGAGCACAGCUUACUUUUACAACUCUUGUGUUGUUGACAAGCGAUGAGACAAUCUUCGUAAGAUGGCGCUAAUUGGACACUGGAAGAGGGAUGCCAUUGCCAAGCUCUCUCAGUUCUCACCUCUGGUCCCGAUGCUCGCCCUCCACCGUUUUAACAGCGAACACAAGAUGACCUCUUAUCUAAUUUGUUUGGCAACCUGGAGACUCUCUUCGGUUUUUUCCUUUUCUUUCUUGCUGAUCGAUCUGUGUUGCAGUCAUUCGUGCCUGGAGGUGUCACCAAGCGCAAGGAUGUGACUGUUCAUCUCUACGUGUAAGAUCCCACACCGCCCAACCUGAUGGUUCUCAAGGAUUUACUUGGAGUUCAUCAAGUCGAAGAGAUCGUGAUUCACUGCAGCCAAGCUGUGGCGAACUGGGGACUGCUGGCGCUGAAGCCAGGCUACGAAUGCUUCCAGGUGCUGUUCGACUUGCUCUUUGGUCGCAUUUCUUUCGCACGAGAGAAACAGCAUCAUUGACUGUAUUAGUGGCGAUGCGUGAUCUUUGUCAAGUUUUUAUUGAACAUCAACGUCAUGACUAGCCUGGUAUAUUUGUAACACCUCGAGCCGCCGUUGACGCUGUAGGUGACGACGCGCUCAUGUCGCCAUGAAGAGCCGGGCCUGCUCGAGAUCCCCCGCUUUGCACAAGCUAUCGAUCAGAGCUGGUUGUAAGUCGCCACGUCGGGGGAUGGAGCGAUCCCAAUGUGAGCUACGCGGAUUGGGCGCUCGCUUCCACGUCAGGGAUUCUUCUCUUCCAUCGCUCUUCCUCUCCUCCUCGCCAUUCGUCCUCCUUGCGGCGCUCUGCGGCCUGCUUGUCGAAGUCUUUCCUGUAGGAAUAAUGAUGAACACGACAAGCAGUCCGAAUCGUGAUCAGAUCUCUGGUGAUUUCCGAUUUGAUUGAAGUUGUAUAUAUAUAUACAGCCAUAUAUGAAUCAGUGUGUGUUGAAGUGAAAUCUGUUGUUCUUGCUCCGCUUUUCUUUCUUGGUAUCGGAGCGCUGGUUUCUGAACUCUUUCUUCUCCUUUCUUUGUGCCUCACAUCAUGAGCUGCAGCAAAGUUGGAUUGAUCUUGCUUCAGGGAGUCACUGCCUUUGAUGGGAGGAGAGGGUUCAACACUUGGUCCGAGAAAAUGAUGCGCGUGCUGCAGAUGGAAGAACUCUGGGAAAUCGUUUCACCACCAACAAGAUGCUCGUACGCGGCGAGCCCCUGCUACGUUGGGAGCUUCAACUUCAGUGGAAGGAGAAGUCGUGGAUGAAGAGGCAAUUCGUGCCUCUGUUGCAGCAGCUCGACAACAGCUUGAUCCAGGGGAACAAGCUGUGCUGGAGAAGAAGGAAUCUCGAGCAAAAGGAUUGAUUCUUUCUAAGCUUGCAGAUGCCCUUAUGAUGCGUUUGCGUCAUAAGUGUGCUUGUGAGAUCUGGGCUCAUCUCCACAACAAGUAUGCUGUUCUUUCCCUCUCCAAGAUUAGCAUGGUCGAGACUUGCAUUCGUGAGACCCGUUUUCAUCCAGGCGAGAACUUUGAAGAGUUCCUCGCCAAGAUGCAAGAUCUGUGGAUGGAGCUUGAAGGCAGUCCAGCAGCGUUCAACGAAAGCAAGAAAGUUCUGGCACUUUGCGAGGCCAUGCAAGAUUCUUCUUUUAGUUCUUUCGUCCCUACCGUUCGCAUGAUGUCGCUCAACUUUGAACAAGCUGAGCAAACUUUACGCUCGGAGCUGGCUGCGAGAGGUUUGAUUGUGGACUUUGAUCAAAGGCCUUCCCAUGUUUUGAUCUCACAGUCUACAGCAAAUGCUUCUGCAUCAAGCAAUCAGUCAGGGACUGAUUCAGCUCUGUGGGCUGGAAAUCAUCGAAACAGAGGAGGCCGUGGAAGAGGAGGACGAGGCAGAGGUCGCGGGUUUAGGGGAAAUCCGCAGCAGCAGCAGAAUUCAGGGAAUUCUGGUAAAGAAGCAGCAGUUCGGGAUUGUUUUGUGGCCAAGAACAAACAGGAAUGCUGGACCUGUGGGAUGCCAAGGCACUACUCCAAGGAUUGCCCAGUUGCAGCUUGGCUGCAGCACAUGAACAUAGGGCUCGCAGCAAAUGCUCAGGAAGGGGAAACACAGGAACUUGCGGCAUCAUCUGAGGUAGCAGUUCCAAACGUUUCUGAAAAACUGACCAUCGAUUCAGGUUCAGAGAGACACCUGAUGCAAAGCGGGUCGAACUUUGUGCAGUUGCGUGCUGCAAAAGGGAAGUGCAUUCGUGUGGGAGAUGGAAGCAUUUUACCUGUUCGCGCAACUGGGGAUGUGCGAGUUCCACUGGGAAGAAAGUCUCUGCUCUUGAAGAAUGCGUGGUAUGUUCCAAAGAUAGUGAAGAAUCUGGUUUCUGUAGCCAAGCUUACGGAUGAAGGUCUGGAUGUGAAUUUCUCCAAACAUCAAUGUCAAGUUCUUGCAAAUGGCCGUCCAUUACUGCAUUUUCCCAGAUGUGGUAACCUGUUUGAGAAGGAGAUAGCUUCUGGAGAAAAAUCGAAUGCUCCUGAGAUAUGCAUGACUGCAGAUAGCUCUCUCUGGCAUUCUCGACUUGCACAUGCCAAUCCUCCUCUCAUCAGGCGUAUGCAGAAGCAGGAGCUUGUGGAUGGCUUCAACGACCACGUUCUUCAAAGUUCAGCAAAAUGUCACACUUGCAUUCUUGGCAAGCAAACCCGUUGUACUUUCAAACCUGCUGUGACCAGAAGCACUCGUCCCUUGCAGCUCAUUCACUCAGAUGUUUGUGGACCCAUGCGACUGUUUGCUCAAAAUGGCACGAAGUAUUUUGUGACAUUUACAGAUGAUUUCUCCAGGCACACGGACGUCUUCUUUCUUCGUCACAAAGAUGAAGUCUUUAGCAAAUUCAAGCAAUUCAUAGUAGAAGCCGAAGUGAAAACUGGUCAGAGGGUUGGUUGUUUACGUACUGAUUCAGGAGGGGAAUACGUCAACAAGUCCUUUCAGCAGUUCUGUGCUGAACGAGGAAUUCUUCAUCAGCGUUCUUGCUCUCAUACCCCUCAACAGAAUGGAGUCUCUAAGCGCAAGAAUAGGACAAUCAUGAACGCAGUUUGGUGCUUCCUUCAAGAAUCAGGACUACCAAAAUUCCUUUGGGCUGAAGCAGUUGGAUCAGCUGUGCAUGUUCAAAACCUUCUCCCUCAUUCUCACAAUCCCAACAAGAUCCCAGAAGAGCUUUGGACUGGUCAAAGACAAUCGGUGGUGCAUCUCAGGCGUUUUGGUUGUUUAAGCUUUGCAAAAAGGGUGGAUGAGCAUCUUGGCAAGUUGGAGAGCAGAAGCAAGCUGGCCUUUCUUGUUGGAUACGAUUCCAAUUCAAAAGGAUAUCACCUGUACCAGCCUGGUAAUCAUCAAAUUUUUGUAAGCACUGAUGUUCGUUUUGAUGAAGGAACACUCUACAAAGAUCAUGUUCAAGAGGAAGGAAGCUCAGAUCAGAACAUGAACUGGACUCCAGAAGAAUGGAGUUGGGAUGGUGUUGAAGACGGUGAUGAAGAUGACGAUGAUCUGACAAUCAUCUAUCCCUCAUCUCCUUUAGCAGAUGAUCAUCCAACACCAGUCUCUGAAUCUUUUCUUCCUGAAGAACAGGGCGAUGCUACUCAUCGUGCACGAACUGGAGAAGUCGACAGGCUCACACGUGAUCUACCAUUCAAUGUGGAGAACUAUGGGCGGACAUCAUCUGGACGAUCAAGCAAAGCACCUCAUCCCAAGCAAUGGUCUUUUGCAGCAACAGAAAUAGCUUCUGAACCAGUCAACUUUGAGCAAGCGAUUCAAGCUCCUGAUGCAGAUAAGUGGAUUUCAGCAAUGCAAGAUGAGUUGAAUUCUCUUGAUGAGAACCAGACUUAUGACUUGGUGGAAGCUCCUAAAGGACGUGAAGUUGUUGGAUCACGCUGGGUGUUCAAGCUUCACAGAAAUCCUGAUGGAUCGGUACAGCGUUACAAAGCAAGACUUGUUGCUCAAGGAUAUUCACAAGUUCCUGGAGUGGAUUUUGAUGAGACGUUCUCACCAAUUGUGAAGCAGACAAGUAUCAGAAUGCUUCUGGCUUUUACAGCGGAGUUUGGUUUGUGCGCACAUCACAUGGACGUAAAAACAGCCUUCCUUAAUGGGAACUUGAAGGAGGAGAUAUUUAUGCGGCAACCCCCAGGCUUUGAGCUUUUUGGAUCCGGUUGUUCCGAACUCGUCUGCAAGCUUCGCAAGGCUCUUUAUGGCCUUAAGCAGGCUUCCCGUCAGUGGUAUGAAUGUUUGGAUUCUUUUCUUAUGGAUCUCGGUAUGCAGAGGUUGAACAGCGAUGGAAAUUUAUAUCUUCUUCAGCAGGGUGAUCACUUUGUUGUGAUAGCAGUUUAUGUGGACGACUGUUUGAUUGUCAGCAACAAUCACACUGUUUUGAAGGAUGUGAAGAUCAAGCUUAUGAACAGGUUUGUGAUGAAGGACUUAGGAGCUGUGCGGCAGCUGUUAGGGAUGGAAGUUGACAGGGAUGAAGCAGACAGGACAAUCACCCUCACACAGUGCCAAUAUGUGAAGAAGCUUCUCAACCAGUUCAACAUGACAAGUUGCAAAUCCGUGGCUGCACCAAUCGUCACUGGCAUCAAGUUCACAAGCAAGAUGGAUGAUUUAUUUGAUCAGCCCUCGGUCUACCGAUCACUUGUUGGAGGACUACUCUACCUCGCCAACAUGACUCGCCCCGACAUCUCCUUUGCCGUUGGUCUCCUCAGCCGAUACAUGCAGUCUCUGAGUUGUUAUCAUUGGCAGAUGGCGAAGAGAGUUUUGAGGUAUUUGAAAGGAACGGCUGCUCAUGGAUUGGUUUACAAAUGCUCAAGUCAAUCCAAACUUGUUCUUCAAGCUUACUGCGAUGCAGAUUGAGCUGGCAACUUGGAUACACGACAUUCAACCUCCGGAAUUUGCUGCAUAAUUGCCGGUGCUCCGGUUUCAUGGGGAAGCAAGAAGCAAACGACAGUUGCUCUUUCCAGUGCAGAAGCAGAAUACAUAGCUGCCAGUACAGCAGCAAGGGAGAUCAUCUGGCUUCGUCGAUUACUUGGAGAACUCAAUCAACAGCAAUCAGAUGUGACCAUUCUACAUUGCGACAGCAGAAGUGCAAUCGCCAUGUCAAAGAAUCCUGUGUUUCAUGCUCGUACGAAACAUAUAGACGUGCAGCAUCACUUCAUUCGCGAACAUGUAGCAGCCGGAGAUCUUCACCUGGAAUACGUUCCUUCACAGUAUCAGUUGGCGGACCUUCUAACCAAGCCACUUUCGGAGCUCACAUUCAUUAAGCUGAGGAAUCAACUUGGAGUGUCAAGCACACCCUCAGCUUGAAGGGGGAGUGUAGGAAUAAUGAUGAACACGACAAGCAGUCCAAAUCGUGAUCAGAUCUCUGGUGAUUUCCGAUUUGAUUGAAGUUGUAUAUAUAUAUACAGCCAUAUAUGAAUCAGUGUGUGUUGAAGUGAAAUCCGUUGUUCUUGCUCCGCUUUUCUUUGCUGCUUGCGAUGGAAAUGCGAGCAGUUUGUGAGAUUGGAUGGAUUGGAACAAGGGAUUUGCUCGAUCGAGUUUGAAAUAUCACUCGAAUGACAAUCAAUGUUUAAUUUCCCAAGGUAUAAUGGGAAUUUGAAUUCUUAGCGUUGGAAGUUUUAGGAGCGUUGGAUUUGGAGCAUCGCUCCACUUUGUGGAGGCAUCGGCAAUGCCGCAAGAGAAUUUGCAAAGCUAUAAGAGGUACGUUAGCUUGCUGUCGUUUUCUUCCCUCAAGAUCAGACCCCGAGCAGGGAUUAGAAGAACGAGAUGGGAAGAGGGGAUUAGAGGAACAAGAAGAACUGGGACUGGGCCGGUAGAACACGUUGAAGGCCUGUUGCAACAAGAAGAAGAACAGGUUGAAGGCCUCGAGGGCGAUCAAGGGCUGGAAGCAAAAGGACUGGAAUCUGAUGGAGCAGAGAAGAAGAACAGUUUCAAGACCUCAAGGGCAAUCAAGGGCUGGAAGCUGAUGGAGCAGAGGUUCAUGGCACAGGAGGGUGUGUUGACAUUGUCAAAAGAUACGAGUCGAGUGUCAAUAGAUGAAGCAAUACACUGGAAGCUAGCAAUUGUUGAUCUGCUCAGGUCUCCAGGAAUCACGCAACAAUCAGGAAUAGUUGUAUAUAGAGCGUGAAAGACUCAUGAAUAUAUACUCGUUUUUUUAUCUUUAUGGUAUCGGAGUGCAGGUUUGUGGCUCGUUAUUUUCCUUUCUUUGUUCCUGUUUCUUGCUCUCGAUUGCUGAGCUACCAUUUGAUGGCUCAAGGCGUUUUUGGUACUGGAUUGGGGGUGUGGAAUGUGGUCACUUCUCCCUAGGGUGCUCAUUCUUUAGCCAUUGAGUCCACUCAUAGUAGCAAUAUUGCUACUACAAUUAAUCAGGAGUAGAACUGUCUAGCCAUGAUCAAUUGAAGCUGGCAGAACAUCUAGCAUAUGUAACGAGAGUCUAGUCUGCUGCAGAAUUCUGGGAGUGCCUCCUUGUGUGCUGAGGGUUGUCAACUCUUCUGCUGCCACUAAGGAUCAUGGAGGUGUACAAAAUAGACUGGACAUUAUUUCAUCUGCCCAUCCAUUUCAUGAGCAUGAGAAGCUCUAUCCUAUUCCAUUUCUGUCUUGUGUCCCUUUGCUACCCAAAAAUGGUCCCUCUUUGCAGUAUAGACAUGGUCAAUCCUCUCCAGGUUUGCUUUUGCAUUCCUCCAUAUAGACAAACGAUCUGAGCAUAACAUCAGGCAGAUGAUAUGAGUUUGCAUUCUCGUUGCUGAAUUGGAGCCAUGAUACCCACAGAACCUUCAUGUCCACCUCGCAAUGCCAUUGACAUCCUUCUCACAAAGUUGCAAUGGUGCCAAACUUGCCAAUUCAUUCAGCUUCUGCUUGAAAUCAGCUUUUGUGUCCUUGGCAUUUCGAUGUGGUGCCUUCCUUUUAAUCCCAUGAAUGGCCUUCCUUUGGACAGCAUUAACCUGUUGUCAAAUGCCUUCAUCCUUCUCUUCUUCAUCAUUUUCAUCUUCUUCUAGCAAGAUAUGGAGUCCUUGACAUGGUUGGUUGUCACUCACUCACAUGCAUACGCAGCAAUGGCACACUGCUGUAAUAAUCCACUGUCAUCCCUAAUGCUUCCCAUCCCACUGUCCCAUGCAAAGGAGCUUCCUCCCAACCAUCUGGAUGCUGAGGAUGAUGGAUGCCUGGCCCCUUGACCUGACUCACCUGACUGACUCACUUGGGCUACAAGAGAUGCAUUGACACACUUGAUCACUUAUGGCACUGUAACCUCAUAGCAUUGCUGCUGGUUUGAGAGGAGAGGAGCCAAAGGGACACAAUCGAGGACAACAAAAAUAAGUGGAUUUGAACUCAAGUUCUUUUGGGAUUUGGAGGUGACAUCCAAACUCAAUCCAUAAAGAGGUGACUUCCACUUGCAGAGUCAUGGAGAAUAAUGCGAAAAAUAUUCUCAAGAAUUCUCUUAAAAAGGAAUUUGUAUAAAUAUAUUCCAUGUCUUUGUGAGUUCUUACAUUUCAUCAUGUACCUGCCUGUAUUCCCGUGUUCUCAUCACCUGCCAAUCGCUGAUUACAAACAUUAUAUAGAUCAAAAUCAAGAAUUGAAAAUUAUUUCAUGAUAGAAUUUUAUUUUGAAUUUUAUUUUUCCCCAAGCCUACAAGCACAAAUUUCUUGCCCAUGUGUAGCUUUAUUAAUGUUUUUGCACUUUUCUUAUCCCCAUAAUCUUAAAAGUGUGCCAAUUUGCUAUAAAAGCAAUUAAAACAAUCAAAAUGUGAUUGUCACAUGGGGUCUUGCCACGUCCGCAUUGCCACAUACUACUGCUCAGUGCAUAUGAAACCUGGUUGUGUCUGGUUUGCAUUAUCCUGUGAGUUGUCAAGAAAGCUCAGACAGUUCCCAAGAAGGCUCCCCUUCACCUCGUCAAUAUGCUUAGACUUGCUACUUCUGCAGAAAGUUGUUAAAUCCCAUCGCUUCUCCUUUUGACUAGGGGGUAAGAACAAAUCCAAUCGCCCUUGUCCUUUUCACUAGCACAUACUGAUCAAGAGCAAAAAACUAGUUGGCUUGGGAUUUUGAUCAAGCACGAGAAACAAGAGUGGCGAUUUUGCUUCAGGAAUCGAUUGGUUAACUUCGCUUCAUUUUCAGAUUCUGGACGUUUAGGAAUGAUCCAUGAUUUAGAAUUCACUGGGAUUGCCCUGAUCUAUACAGAGCUGGCUUGUGGACUUCUUGAAAACUCUUGUGCUGAAGGGCUCUCUUUUAGGAUUUGAAUCCUAUAAAAUGCUUAAACCAAACCCUAAAUGUGGCAAAUAAUGAAAUAUAUAUGUGUUAUUUGUAAAUUAGGCACCACCCACCCCUUUGGAGGUGUACCUCCCCCUCGAAUUGACAAUAGUUUCUUUCUUCAGCUUCCAGUGCUGGAUGGAAACAGAGGUCUCUGUGGAGUGGGCAUGAAGGAGCGGCCGCCACUGCUGCUGCCCUCCUCUGAAUAGGCCUCGAGAUCCACCCCCGCCCCGCCCAGCUUCGCCGCUCUCCUUCUCGCCAGCGACGCCUCCUGCCGCUGCGCGACGUACUUGCGCGUCCGGCACACAUAGACCGCAAGAACCACUAAGGUAAUCGCGAAGAACAGUCCCACCACGAUCCCAGCGAUCGCCUCGUGCGAGAGCGUGAUCGUUUCCUUGCUGGAUUUGGAUUGCUCCAGUAGCCACCGUCGUCCAAUCGACCCAAUCGCUGGCUGGAUCAUCCGCUGGAUCGAUCCAGGAGCUUCAUACCCGUAUUGGGUGACCUCAUAGGAUGAAUCUACACCGCUGCUACAACCGCCGCCUGGGAUCCAGAUCGCAAGCAGCAGGAAUAGAGAAAGAAGAAGAAGCAAGCCGCUCCUCUGAGUUGGCGCUACCUCUCCGCCAAAUAGCACCAUUUUCGUGAUCCUGCGUGUUCGUUGCCAAGAUAUCUAUUUCUCGACCUCUCAAGUAGAAUGGAAGUUUGGGCGAUUUUAUCAUUUAUAUAGGAAAAAGACCCUCUUGACCUACAAUACAUAACGCGACUAGUUCAAAGUCUUCUUGUGAAUAGCGCGUCAUACGUGGGGCCUUUGACGCUUGUGCUUCGCCUAGACCUUGAAGUUGACAGAACUUUUCUUAUGUGAAUUUCUUCUUCCUAAACCCUAAAUAAUCAAAGUGAUUUCAUGGCAAGAUCGCUUGUGAUCUGCAAAGAAAGAAGGAAUCUUUAUAGAUCAGUCUUCCUUGCCUCAAAAAUCCACAUUGCUUGCCGUGAGCUGAGAUGCAUUUCGACCAGCAGCUUAAAAUUUUUUAAGCCUGGGCGCCAUUUUCAUUAUAGGUUGGAGGGCAAAGCGUGGAGGUGGAUGAUUACACAGAGGAGCAGGAUAUAAUCUCCAGCAUUCUCCACCGUGCCUCAAGGAACUCACUGUUGUGCUCGAGUAUAGCAAGGAUGGUGAUGACCAGAUGGAAGUUAGCAGUCACUGCUGUUGGCUCCCUCACAAAGCUCUCCCUCGAAGCUCUCCAUGGGACCAAAUGGGGAGCAGCGUACUCCACCGCGAUUCAGGAGCUCCACAUCACUGGGAGACCAUGUUGGGGGGUGUGGGAUCUUGUAUGUAGAGACACAUCCUCGCGCUUGGUGACACCUCCGGGCACAAAUGAUUUAUUUGUGGGCACAAAUGACUGUAACACAAAUCAAUCAGUAAGAUUUAACAAAGAAAAAAAACCAAAGAAGAAUAGUCAAGAUCCACAUGAAGAAAUAGUUGUAUUGUCUCCAGAUUAACAAAGAAAAGAGACUGUCCAUGGUCAUCUUGUGUUCACUGUCAAUGCAUUGGAGCGCAAGCCUCAAAACCAUAGGCGAGACUGGGAGAGAUUGGCGAUGGCAUCCACCUUCCAGUGUCCAUAUAACGCCAACUUACGAAGGUUGUCACAUCGCAUGUCCACAACGCAAGAGUUACACUGUUCAAAACCUCUAGGCUCGGGCACGAAGCUAGCAGCAUCUGGAGCAGCGCAUGGGGGACGUAAGAGUAGAGCUCACAUCUUUGUACACGAAUCAUCUUGAAAAGAGAUCUAAGGCAAGAAAGAAUCAUGGCUGUCCACUCUUGAUAGGAAAGAUCAACGCAAAACACUCAAAUGAAACGCAGACCACUACAACCCUGUCUUGGAUUCGAUCGAAAACCCAUCGAGCCUCCAUUGCCGCAUUUCCCAUACAUGUUGAUCAAGCUACUGGCCACACGAGGAUUGGAUUGGAGCCAUAUCCUGUGUGGAUGUGGAUCCUCCUCCCUCUCUCCAAAUCCCUGGCGCCGGUGCAGGAUUUCAUGCUGUGACACUUGCCUUGACUCUAACCAUAAACUUUUCUCUCUAUUUCAAAGAGGUAGGAGCGAGAGGAACUCCAGUCUCCUCUCUAUGUGGCGGUAGCUCCAGUGGAACCUGUGCAGAAAACUCACAAGGACGAGCAUCAACAUCGUGACUCGCAAAACCACAAGAGGUACCAAUUCAUCUUUCGUGAAACUUAGUAGUCAUGCAGUUGAUUUUCAAUAAGAACUUGCAAAGAUCAGGCAUUGCUACUUCUCACGCGUGAAAAAUGCGACCAGGAAAAAAGAAGAGCAAGUCGAACAGCAGCCGGGGCUGCAGUGAAUCACGAUGUCUUCCACUUGAUGAACUCCAAGUAAAUCCUUGAGAACCAUCAUGGUGGGCGGUGUGGGAUCUUGCACGUGAAGAUGAACAGCCACAUCCUUACGCUUGGUGACAACUCCAAGCUCCCUCAGUUAACAGCGAACACAAGAUGACCAUGGACAGUCUCUUCUCUUUGUUUGGCUUUGGAGACAAUACAUACUGACUGCUGUUCUCUUCAGGUUCGUUUUUUUUUAUUUGUCUUGUGUUUCUUGCUGAUCGAUCUGUGUUGCAGUCAUUUGUGCCUGGAGGUGUCACCAAGUGCAAGGAUGUGACUGUUCAUCUUCACGUGUUGGUGGCGCUAAAGCCAGGUUACAAAUGCUUCUGGGUGCUGUUUGACCUGCUCUUUGGUCGCAUUUCUUUUGCAGAGAAACUGCAUCACUGGCUCUAUUAGAAGCGAUGCGUGAUCUUUGUCAAGUUUUUAUUGAACAUCAACGUCAUGACUAGCCUGGUAUAUUUGUAACACCUCGAGCCGCCGUUGAUGCUGUAGGUGACGACGCGCUCAUGUCGCCAUGAAGCGCCAGGCCUGCUCGAGAUCCCCCGCUUUGCACAAGCUAUCGAUCAGAGCUGGUUGUAAGUCGCCACGUCGGGGGAUGGAGCGAUCCCAACAUGGGCAAUGUGAUCUACGCGGAUUGGGCGCGAUCAAGCAUCGCUUCCACGUCAGGGAUUCUUCUCUUCCAUCGCUCUUCCUCUCCUCCUCGCCAUUCGUCCUCCUUGCGGCGCUCUGCAGCCUGCUUGUCGAAGUCUUUCCAUCACUGCUUGCGAUGGAAAUGCGAGCAGUGUGUGAGAUUGGAUGAAUUGGAACAAGGGAUUUUUGAAAUAUCACUUGGAUGACAGAAUCCCCAGCGUUGGAAUUUUUAGGAAGCAACGAGCGUUUGGAUUUGGAGCAUCGCUCCACUUUGUGGAGGCAUCGGCAAUGCCGCAAGAGAAUUUGCAAAGCUAUAAGAGGUAAGACGUUAGCUUGCUGUCGUUUGCUUCCCCCAGGAUCAGACCGAUUAGAAGAACGAGAUGGGAAGAGGGGAUUAGAGGAACGAGAAGAACAGGGACUGGGCCUGGAGCAACGGGUAGAACACGUUGAAGGCCUGUUGCAACUAGAAGAAGAACAUGUUGAAGGCCUCGAGGGCGAUCAAGGGCUGGAAGCAAAAGGACUGGAAGCUGAGAAAAGCAACGAGAAGAAGAACAGGUUCAAGACCUCGAGGGCAAUCAAGGGCUGGAAGCUGAUGGAGCAGAGGUUCACGGCAUAGGAGGGUGUGUUGACAUUGUCAAAAGAUACGAGUCGAGUGUCAAUAGAUGAAGCAAUACACUGGAAGUUAGCAAUUGUUGAUCUGCUCGGGUCUCCAGGAAUCACGCAACAAUCAGGAAUAGCUUGUAUAUAGAGUGUGAAAGACUCAUGAAUAUAUACUCGUUUUUUCUCUUCAUGGUAUCAGAAUGCAGGUUUGUGGCUCAUUACUUUUCCUUUCUUUGUUCCUGUUUCGUGCUCUUGAUUGCUGAUGGAGCGAUUGGCUGCUACCAUUUGAUGGCUCAAGGCGUUUUUGGUACUGGAUAGGGUGCUUAUUCUUCAGCCAUUGAGUCCACUUGUAGUAGCAAUAUUGCUACUACGAUUAAUCAGGAGUAGACUGCUCGAGCCAUCAUCAAAUUGAAGCUAGCAGAACAUCUAGCAUUUGCAACGAGAGUCUAGUCUGCUGCAGAAUUCUGGGAGCCUCCUUGUGUGCUGAGGCCAAGUAGCUGGUGUUGUCAACUCUUCUCCUGCCAAUAAGGAUCGCGGAGGUGUACAAAAUAGACUGGACAUUAUUUCAUCUGCCUCAUCCAUUUCAUGAGCAUGAGAAGCUCUAUCCUAUUCCAUUUCUGUUUUGCGUCCCUUUGCUUCCCAAAAAUGGCCCCUCUUUGCAGUAUAGACAUGGUCAAUCCUCUCCAGGAUUGCUUUUGCAUUCCUCCAUAAAGACAAACAGUCUGAGCAUAACAUGGUACCUCUACAUGGUAGGCAGAUGAGUUCGCACUCUUGUUGCUGAAUUGGAGCCAUGAUACCCACAGAACCUUCAUGUCCACCUUGCAAUUUACAUCGUUCUCGCAAUGGUGCCAAACUUGCAAAUUCAUUCAGCUUCUGUGUCCUUAGCAUUUCGAUGUGGUGCCUUCCUUUUAAUCCCAUUCAAUGCUGUGAAUGGCCUUCCUUCAGAAAGCAUUAACAUGUUAUCAAAUGCCUUCAUCCUCCUAUUCUUCAUCAUUUUCAUCUUCUUCUAGCAAGAUAUCUUCCAUUGGAGUGCUUGACAUGGUUGGUUGGCAGUCACUGCAACAAUGGCACAUUGUUGUAAUAGUCCAUUGUCAUCCCUACUUUGGAAUUGGAAUGCUUCCCAUCCCCCUGUCCCAUGCAAAGGAGCUUCCUCCGAACCAUCUGGAUGCUGAGGAUGAUGGAUGCCGGGCUUGACCUAACUCACCUGACUCACUUGGGCUGCAAGAAAGGCAUUGACACAGUUGAUCACUUAUGGCACUGUAACCUCAUAAGAACCAAAGAGAAGCAAUCUAAGACAACAAGAACCCUAACUUGUAAGUGGAUUUGAACUCAAGUUCUUUUGGAUUUGGAAAAACAAAUUGAGCCAAACUCAGUCCAUGUGGAGAUGACAUCCACUUGCAGAGCCAUGGAGAAUAUGAAAUACUAUAAAAAUAUUAAAAUAAUGCAUGCUAAAAAUAUUCUCAAGGAUUCACUUAAAAAGGAAUUUAUAUAAGUAUAUUCCAUGUUUUUGUGAGUUCUUACAUUUCUGUAUACCCGUGUUCUCAGGGCAUUUCAUCACCUGCCAAUCACUGAUUAUAAACAUUAUACAAAUCAAAAUCAAGAAUUGAAAAUUAUUUCAUGAUAGAAUUUUAUUUUGAAUUUUAUUUUCCCCCAAGCCUACAAGCACAAAUCACUUGCAUUGUUAUUUUAUUUAUUUUUUAUAUUUAUUUUUUUGCACAUUUUUUAUCCCCAUAAUCUUAAAAGUGUGCCAAUUACAUUUUGAUUGAUUACGUCCGCAUUACCACAUGCAGACACGUGCAUGUAGUACUCAUGUUGAUUUUCUACUACUCAGUGCAUAUAGGUUUGCAGCAAGGGAUUGGGGGGUUGAGCAUGAGCCUUUCAAUUAUAAAGUUCACACCAAUGCAAGACUCGGCACUAAACUACCAAGGUCCUCUCCAAUUCCAUGGUAGUCUUCUCCAAAUCGCUAGCACUUGGCGCUUGGCUUAUCCCAGAAUGAGACUGCUCUCUUCGGGCCAUGUAGCCAGCAAUGUGUUUUGUGGCUACCAAUAAGAGGCCAUGAAGAAUUGUAGCAAGUUCCUGAUGUUUGUAUCUUGUUCUGGUCCACUCCUGUGCUUUACAAAGGCCAUGAGAACCGAGUUCCAGUCUCCAGCACAGGAUGUUCUUGUGCGUGAUAUUUUGUCAAAAAUGAGCUUAACCUCUCAUCAUCAUUGUGUAGAGCAGACAGUCUCGCUGCUCGCACUCGUCAGACAAACCUUGGAAUAUGUUUUGAUGGUGGCUUUAGAAUCCUUGAUAUAUCAAGAUCAAAGAAAACAACAAGUAAAAAACUUGAAAACCUGGUUGCAUCUGGUUUGCAUUAUCCUGAGUUGUCAAGAAAGCUUAGAUACUUCCCAAGAAAUCUCCCCUUCACCUCGUCAAUCUGCUUAGACACUUCAUGCUUGACUUGCUACUUUUGCAGAAAGUUGUUAAAUCCCAUCUAUUCUCCUUUUGACUAGUGCAUAGGGGUAAGAAUAAAUUUAAUCGCCCUGUCCUUUUCACUAGCACAUAGAGUUGGGAUACUGAUCAAGAGCAAAAAACUAGUUGGCUUUGGGAUUUUGAUCAAGCACGAGAUUCAGGAAUCGAUUGGUUAACUUUGCUUCAUUUUCAGAUUCUGGACGUUUAGGAAUGAUCCAUGGUUUAGAAUUCACUGGGACGCCCUGAUCUAUGGACAGCUGGCUUGUGGACUUCUUGUGCUGAAGGGCUCUCCAGUUCUUGGGUGAUAUCGACAGUCUUAGAAUGGUGGACAGAAAGCUUGUGUGCCAUCAACGUGAUGAAAUUGUGGCAUUUUAUCGAGCAAGGUCUUUGUGGAGCAUUAAGCUUUGAACCAAGCCCUAAAUGUGGCAAAUAAUGAAAUAUGUUAUUUGUAAAUUGCCACACCCCUUUGGAGGUGUACCUGACAAUAAAUUAUUAUACAACGCUGAUUCGCAAGAAAAAUCAAGUAUCUUUACAUUGCUCUAGUCUAUGGCUCAAAUCGAAUAGUUUCUUUCUUCAUCUUCCAGUGCUGGAUGGAAACAGAGGUCUUUGUGGAGUGGGCAUGAAGGAGCGGCUGCCCUCCUCUGAAUAGCCGUCAGCGCCACCGACCUCGAGUUCCACCCCCGCCCCGCCUAGCUUCGCCGCUCUCCUUCUCGCCAGCGACGCCUCCUGCCGCUGCGCGAUGUACUUGCGCGUCCGGCACACAUAGACCGCAAGAACCACUAAGGCAAUCGCGAAAAACAGUCCCACCACGAUCCCAGCGAUCGCCUCGUGCGAGAGCGUGAUCGUUUCCUUGCUGGAUUUGGAUCGCUGCAGUAGCCACCGUCGUCCAAUCGACCCAAUCGCUGGCUGGAUCAUCCGCUGGAUCGAUCCAGGAGCUUCAUACCCGUAUUGGGUGACCUCAUAGGAUGAAUCUACACCGCUGCUACAACCGCCGCCUGGGAUCCAGAUCGCAAGCAGCAGGAAUAGAGAAAGAAGAAGAAGCAAGCCGCUCCUCUGAGUUGGCGCUACCUCUCCGCCAAAUAGCACCAUUUUCGUGAUCCUGCGUGUUCGUUGCCAAGAUAUCUAUUUCUCGACCUCUCAAGUAGAAUGGAAGUUUGGGCGAUUUUAUCAUUUAUAUAGGAAAAAGACCCUCUUGACCUACAAUACAUAACGCGACUAGUUCAAAGUCUUCUUGUGAAUAGCGCGUCAUACGUGGCCUUUGACGCUUGUGCACCUUGAAGUUGACAGAACUUUUCUUAUGUGAAUUCCUUCUUCCUAAACCCUAAAUAAUCAAAGUGAUUUCAUGGCAAGAUCGCUUGUGAUCUGCAAAGAAAGAAGGAAUCUUUAUAGAUCAGUCUUCCUUGCCUCAAAAAUCCACAUUGCUUGCCGUGAGCUGAGAGGCAUUUCGAGCAGCAGCUUAAAUUUUUUUAAACCUGGGCACCAUUUUCAUUAUAGGUUGGAGGGCAAAGCGUGGAGGUGGAUGAUGACACAGAGGGGCAGGAUAUAAUCUCCAGCAUUCUCCACCGUGCCUCAAGGAACUCACUGUUGUGCUCGAGUAUAGCAAGGAUGGUGAUGACCAGAUGGAAGUUAGCAGUCACUGCUGUUGUCUCCCUCACAAAGCUCUCCCUCGAAGCUCUCCAUGGGACCAAAUGGGGAGCAGCGUACUCCACCGCGAUUCAGGAGCUCCACAUCACUGGGAGACCAUGUUGGGGGGUGUGGGAUCUUGUAUGUAGAGACACAUCCUCGCGCUUGGUGACACCUCCGGGCACAAAUGAUUUAUUUGUGGGCACAAAUGACUGUAACACAAAUCAAUCAGUAAGAUUUAACAAAGAAAAAAAACCAAAGAAGAAUAGUCAAGAUCUACAUGAAGAAAUAGUUGUAUUGUCUCCAGAUUAACAAAGAAAAGAGACUGUCCAUGGUCAUCUUGUGUUCACUGUCAAUUCAUUGGAGCGCAAGCCUCAAAACAUAGGCGAGACUGGGAGAGAUUGGCGAUGGCAUCCACCUUCCAGUGUCCAUAUCCAACUUACGAAGGUUGUCACAUCGCAUGUCCACAACGCAAGAGUUACACUGUUCAAAACCUCUAGGCUCGGGCACGAAGCUAGCAGCAUCUGGAGCAGCGCAUGGGGGACGUAAGAGUAGAGCUCACAUCUUUUUACACGAAUCAUCUUGAAAAGAGAUCUAAGGCAAGAAAGAAUCAUGGCUGUCCACUCUUGAUAGGAAAGAUCAACGCAAAACACUCAAAUGAAACGCAGACCACUACAACCCUGUCUUGGAUUCGAUCGAAAACCCAUCGAGCCUCCAUUGCCACAUUUCCCAUACAUGUUGAUCAAGCUACUGGCCACACGAGGAUUGGAUUGGAGCCAUAUCCUGUGUGGAUGUGGAUCCUCCUCCCUCUCUCCAAAUCCCUGGCGCCGGUGCAGGAUUUCAUGCUGUCCUUGACUCUUAACCAUAAACUUUUCUCUCUAUUUCAAAGAGGUAGGAGCGAGAGGAACUCCAGUCUCCUCUCUAUGUGGCGGUAGCUCCAGUGGAACCUGUGCAGAAAACUCACAAGGACGAGCAUCAACAUCGUGACUCGCAAAACUACAAGAGGUACCAAUUCAUCUUUCGUGGAACUUAGUAGUCAUGCAGUUGAUUUUCAAUAAGAACUUGACAAAGAUCAGGCAUUGCUACUUCUCACGCGUGAAAAAUGCGACCAGGAAAAAAGAAGAGCAAGUCGAACAGCAGCCGGGGCUGCAGUGAAUCACGAUGUCUUCCACUUGAUGAACUCCAAGUAAAUCCUUGAAAACCAUCAUGGUGGGCGGUGUGGGAUCUUGCACGUGAAGAUGAACAGCCACAUCCUUACGCUUGGUGACACCUCCAAGCUCCCUCAGUUAACAGCGAACACAAGAUGACCAUGGACAGUCUCUUCUCUUUGUUUGGCUUUGGAGACAAUACAUACUGACUGCUGUUCUCUUCAGGUUCGUUUUUUCUUUUGUUUUGUCUUGUGUUUCUUGCUGAUCGAUCUGUGUUGCAGUCAUUUGUGCCUGGAGGUGUCACCAAGUGCAAGGAUGUGACUGUUCAUCUUCACGUGCAUGAUCCCACACCACCCAACGUGAUGGUUGUCAAGGAUUUAUGGAGUUCAUCAAGUAAAAGAGGUUGUGAUUCACUGCAGCUAAGUUGUGGCGAACUGGUCACUGAAGCCACGCUACGAAUGCUUCCGGGUGCUGUUCGACUUGCUAUUUUUCUUUCCUGGUCGCAUUUCUUUCGCGCGUGAGGAACUGCAUCACUGGCUUUAUUAGUUAGCAGUGCCUGAGCCUGGCAACGUAUCACCUUUUGUAGUUUCUAAAUCAAACAAAACGUUGGCGAGCUUUUGCCAAGUACUUCCAAGACUGUAAUAGCUUCUUUUGUGAUUUGUUUGUAAGGAAGGGCAUUCUUAUACACAAACUUCACUGGAUUCUUCGUCUGUACAAGUUUUUCCUGCCAAAGAAACUUCUUCCACCCUUGCAGCGCACAGAGAUAGAGCAGCCGCGGCUGGAGAAGAAGCCUCAAAUUCUUUGAUCAUGGCCUUGACGUCGUCUAGCUUUCCCGACCGGCAAACCCAGUCGAGGAUGGAGCUGCAAGUGGUGGCGUCCGGCAGCAUCCCCUUGGCCAGCACCACUCGCAGCAGCUCCAUCGUCCCGGCCAAGUUCCCAGAUCUGUGGAGACCACUGAAGCAAGCCGCGAAGGUGAACGAGUCCGGCUGGUGGCCCUUGCCGACCAUCUCCUCAAGAACAGUGAUCGCCUGCUCGGUCUUCCCCGACUUCCACAGCCCGUCCACGAGGAUGUUGUAAGUCACGGUGUCGGGAUCCC
This 21079-nucleotide long non-coding RNA is filed under the name Selaginella moellendorffii. Its description in RNAcentral is "long non-coding RNA (SMOE_LNC000812)". Lineage: Eukaryota; Viridiplantae; Streptophyta; Lycopodiopsida; Selaginellales; Selaginellaceae. The record is from RNAcentral.